UGUUACAAUGGGGGGUACGAGAGGGCCGCUACCACGCGAGUGGAUGCCAAUCCCCAAAACCUCUCUCAGUUCGGACUGGAGUCUGCAACCCGACUCCACGAAGCUGGAUUCGCUAGUAAUCGCGCAUCAGCCACGGCGCGGUGAAUACGUUCCCGGGCCUUGUACACACCGCCCGUCAAGCCAUGGGAGCCGGGGGUACCUGAAGUGCGUAACCGCGAGGAGCGCCCUAGGGUAAAACUGGUGACUGGGGCUAAGUCGUAACAAGGUAAC
This 270-nucleotide ribosomal RNA is filed under the name uncultured bacterium. Its description in RNAcentral is "partial 16S ribosomal RNA". It matches the Rfam family "Bacterial small subunit ribosomal RNA", at positions 1223 to 1500 of the family's 1533-position model. The record is from RNAcentral.